Long non-coding RNA from Folsomia candida, 572 nucleotides. RefSeq lists it as uncharacterized. Lineage: Eukaryota; Metazoa; Arthropoda; Collembola; Entomobryomorpha; Isotomidae. The transcript is spliced from 2 exons. The record is from RefSeq and is a predicted model, not a curated record.
UUAGCAACAGCACAAAAUAAUCUGGACUCACUUUAUCAAAUCUUUUCCCUGCGGAAGCAACUUUCAAUAGAAAUACGUUGUAAUUACGGCAAUGGGAAGCGCACUCCUCCCCUUCAUUCUCGGCACCGUAGUCACGCUGCUAUCCCACAGCUCUCAGGCUACGGUAAUGAACCCACUCGGACUUGAAGUUGUCCAAAACGCUCCAUCAUGCGCCAUUGGCACUGUAACCGAUUAUACGUCAGAACCGUGUCGUUCCUGUGUCUGUGCACCAUUUCGCAUUUUAUUGUGUCGAAAUCGACUUUGUCUUCAGGCUCCAGGUUCUGGAUCAGGAACGUCAACUACGUCAAGGCCGGAGGUAGCAAAUAGACCAACUUUUGCUCCAGCAGUGACAAAUUUUCCAAUUUUUAGUCCACCAAGAAUUAAGCUUAGUGGGUUCGGGUUAUAAAUUUGUUGACGCAGCGAGUAAAUUUAGUCUGCCUUGUUAUGUUUUUUUAUAAGUGAAAGGUGAAAGUUAAUACAAAUUUUAUUGUCAAAUAUUGUCGUGUUUUUAAUACAAUCAUCAAAUUUAGGUA